GAUCCUGGCUCAGGACGAACGCUGGCGGCGCGCCUAACACAUGCAAGUCGAACGAGCGAGAGAGAGCUUGCUUUCUCGAGCGAGUGGCGAACGGGUGAGUAACGCGUGGGUAACCUGCCUCAUACAGGGGGAUAACAGUUAGAAAUGGCUGCUAAUACCGCAUAAGACCACGGUACUGCAUGGUACAGUGGUAAAAACUCCGGUGGUAUGAGAUCGGACCCGCGUCUGAUUAGCUAGUUGGGG
RNAcentral lists this ribosomal RNA (243 nucleotides) under uncultured bacterium. RNAcentral's name for it is "partial 16S ribosomal RNA". It matches the Rfam family "Bacterial small subunit ribosomal RNA", at positions 15 to 254 of the family's 1533-position model. The record is from RNAcentral.